CAGCAGCCGCCGCGGGAAUACGAAGGGGGCUAGCGUUGUUCGGAUUUACUGGGCGUAAAGGGCGCGUAGGCGGGCGAAUCAGUCAGGGGUGAAAUCCCAAGGCUCAACCUUGGAACUGCCUUUGAUACUGUUUGUCUUGAGUUCGAGAGAGGUAAGUGGAACUGCGAGUGUAGAGGUGAAAUUCGUAGAUAUUCGCAAGAACACCAGUGGCGAAGGCGGCUCACUGGCUCGAAACUGACGCUGAGGCGCGAAAGCGUGGGGAGCAAACAGGAUUAGAUACCCCCGUAGUCCCUGUCUCUUAUAA
RNAcentral lists this ribosomal RNA (304 nucleotides) under uncultured bacterium. Its description in RNAcentral is "partial 16S ribosomal RNA". It matches the Rfam family "Bacterial small subunit ribosomal RNA", at positions 506 to 809 of the family's 1533-position model. The record is from RNAcentral.